GGACGCGCGGCCGGGGAAGGAGGCCGGGCCGAGGAGGCGGGAGGAGGGGGCCUGCCUCCGCCGCCGCGGCGCCGACCCCGCCUCCCGGUGUUGCUAAAAGCCUCCAGUGAAUGAAUGAACACUUGUGUGCCUGCCCUCAAGGAGCCUGCACUACACUUGGAGAUAUAUACAGAAACCUGUUGAGGGCUAACUUAGGUUGGCAAGGCCCCCAGUGGCCAAGGCAUGAGCCUGGAUGCCCUGCAAAUUGAGUACGUGUUAGGGAUGGGGGCCAUUCUUUAUAGUUUGACUCUGGAGAGCUAGGACCACCUUUCCCAGCCUCAGGGGUGCACAUCCUCAGGAGCUGCCUACCUCCAGAUAUUGUAAGUCCAUGCAGAAGAGGAAGGGCCCAGCUGGGGCACCUCUUGGUUGAGGAAUGAGUAUGUGACAUUUUCAUGUGGGCACAUUUUGAUACUACUUUAAAAAUAGACCAAGCACAGUGGCUCACACCUGUAAUUCCAGCACUUCGGGACGCUGAGAGAGGUGGAUCACCUGAGGUCAGGAGUUCGAGAUCAGCCUGGCCAACAUGGAGAAACCCCGCCUCUACUAAAAAUACAAAACAUUAGCUGGGUGUGGUGGCACACACCUGUAAUUCCAGCUACUCGGGAGGCAGAAGCAGGAGAAUCGCUUGAAUCCAGGAGGCGGAGGUUGCAGUAAGCCGAGAUCACGCCACUACACUCCAGCUUACACUGGACAUGAUGAGGAGGAGGAGGAUGAUGGUGGUGAUUAUGAUAGAAAUGGUGAUGGUGAUGAUGACAAUGGUGAUAGUAGGGAUGGUCUUGCUCUGUCGCAAUCAAUAAAUGAAUGCAUAAACACAUUUCUACUUGUUUUUGCAGUCCUAAGAUAAGUGCUCAGUAGCAUCCCUGCCCUUCUAAUGUGAACUUGAGGGAUGGGUAAGACCCAGAGAUGGCAUGGGGGACGGGAUAAGGAAGGCCUACUGUUCAUAUUGUGAACAUGAAAUGGUUUUACAUUUUGAUGCCACUUCAUUAAAUUGACUGUAUGAUAUGAGCUAACGCUACACCCUCCUUUAAAUUUUGGCUAACACAUCCAUAUCCUCAGGUGGUAUCAGUUGAUAAUGCCCAUGAAAAUAUUUUGUAAACUACAGGGUGCUAAACAAUUAUUUACUUGUAUCCCUUUCUGUGGGGCACAGUUUGAUGCUAUACACAAAGCAGUGAAGUCUCGACAAGAAUGAUGACCACUACAAUGAGCACAAAAUAAAGUCUUUUUGGGGUUUUUUGUUUUUUGUUUUCUUUUUGGAGACAGGGUCUCGCUCUGUCACCCAGGCUGGAGUGCAAUGGCACGAUCUCAGCUCACUGCAACCUCUGCCUUCUGGGUUCAAGUGAUUCUCCUGCCUCAGCCUCCUGAGUAGCUGAGAUUACAGGCCUGUGCCACCACACCCGGCUCAAUUUUUUGUAUUUUUAAUAGAGAUGGGGUUACACCAUGUUAGCCAGGCUGGUCUUGAACUCCUGGCCUCAUGUGAUCCUCCUGCAUCAGCCUUCCAAAGUGCUGGCAUUACAGGCGUGAGCAACUGCUCCCGGCACAAAAUAAAA
Molecule: long non-coding RNA, 1586 nt
Filed under: Homo sapiens (human)
Lineage: Eukaryota; Metazoa; Chordata; Mammalia; Primates; Hominidae
Description: HSALNT0370308
Source: RNAcentral